UUCUUCCUCCCGCGCGCAACCCCCUUUCCCCCUUCAUUUUCUUUUUCUAUUUUCUCCUUCACCGUGCCCUACCUCCAGCCGCACCCUCCAACCGACCACCAUCGCUCUCCUCCUUCUUUUCUUCUCCGAUCCACGGCCGCCGCCCCUAUUCUUCUUCCAUUUCUCUUUCUUUUCUACCAUACCCAGCCGCCGCUGCAACCGUCGGUCGCCAUCUCUGUUCGCGAAGCAAGCCGUACGCGUCGCCUUGCAGUUGUCGUCCAGAUCUGCGUCGCCGUGCCCCGUCCUAAUCGCCUCUGUCUCCGUCGAAGCCAAGCCCAGCCGCCGCCCAUUCCUUUCCUCUCCGUUCGUGAAGCCCGGUCGCCGCGUCAGAUCGUCGAUCGAUUUUGAGGCAGCGCGCACGUCUCCUUCCAGCCGCGCGUUUCCUCUUCUUCCAGCAGCGUGUUCUUCUUCCAGCCGCAAUUCACAACCGACGUACACUCUAAUCUGUUUGUACGAUCUUUGUUGUUAGGUUCGAUCGUCGCUGCCGCCGUUUUUGUUGUGUUGGAAGUGACAUUGGGUCCCUCGUGUUCAUAACCGAAAUUGUGAAUUUUGGAGUUUGGCUCGCCAAUACUUCGUAUCUUUCGUGGGAUAUAGUUUGUUUAAGAAAUUGAGCAACCUUGAGGCAAAGGUAAUAAAGACGGCAAACCGGCGAGGGGCAGGAAGGAAGCGUGAUUGCCAUAGGGGUUAUUUUAAAUUGCUUAUGCUAAAUGUUUUGUUUCACGUGUUUUGUUUUAGUACUUGAGAUUGUUUAGAAAAUUUUAUAGUUGAACUGUAUUCACGAAUUAGUAAAUUUUUCUUGAAAGUGUUGGUUAUUUUAAACAGGGCCCAGAUAUAAAUUUUUGUUUUCUUGAGACUUUGAAAUUGUUUGAGAUUGAGAUUUUGAGUAAACUCAGGUCUUUAUUUGAAAUUAAUGACUUCGACUUACCUAGAAAAGUUGGGUCGUUACAUGUAUAUUAUGCCAGACUGGUAUAGAAGUAGAUACGAUGGAUAAUGUAUUUGUAAACUGAGAAAGGUGUUAUGUAUAUAUAUAUAUCUUGACUGUC
Cucumis sativus (cucumber) is the source of this 1082-nucleotide long non-coding RNA. RefSeq lists it as uncharacterized. Lineage: Eukaryota; Viridiplantae; Streptophyta; Magnoliopsida; Cucurbitales; Cucurbitaceae. The transcript is spliced from 3 exons. The record is from RefSeq and is a predicted model, not a curated record.